Non-coding RNA from Epicoccum nigrum, 140 nucleotides. The record is from the annotation of a GenBank genome assembly. Lineage: Eukaryota; Fungi; Ascomycota; Dothideomycetes; Pleosporales; Didymellaceae.
GGACGCGUAGUUCAAUGGUAUAACGUCCGCCUCAAGCACCCCAAUCUGUUGUGACGGAUAAAACCGUCACGGCGAUUCAACUCGCGAAGACGGAUUGGGCUUGGAAGCGGAAGAUGUGUGUUCGAAUCACACCGCGUCCG